UGACAGUGGCGCGCCGCCCAGCCGCUAGGAGGAAGCCGGGCUCCCGGCCAGGAUCGCCGCCAAGUCCCCCGCGUGGAAGAGGAGGAAGCGGCUCUUCUCGACUCUCGCGUCCGCACCAAACACAACACUUGGACAGACGGGACGCAGCCAAAGUACCACGUCUUGGCGGAGGUUACAUGGGGGCCGCGCCAUGACGUCCACGGCCAGCGAAAGGCGGGCGUUCGCGCACAAAAUCAACCGGACGGUGGCUGCAGAAGUCCGGAAGCAAGUGUCCAGAGAGUAUGGCUCCCCGCUCCUGUCCAAAAAGCGAGGAGCACUGCACCAUCCUUUACCCCUGACUGAGGUGGUGGAGCCAGUGGAUUUUGAGGAUUAUUUGAGCAGUCAUGCUCCCGGGGUGGAGUCGGGCCCUCUCAGGCAGCUGAUGGAGUUUCCCCAGGACGACUUAGAGCUGCACCACUCAGACAAAGAGUGCACUACGCUGGAGCCGCCGCUGCCUGAGGAGGAAGACGCACUGGAUCCCCGAGUGAGAGACGCCUUGGCAGUCUACACAGAUGACUGGCUCGUCAUUCAAAGAAAAUACCAGCGCUACAGCACCACGCACAGCCCGCAGAGCUCCGAGCGACAGAGGGAGAGGCAGCGAGGCUUGCUCAAACAGACUUUUGAACUGGACCAGGCAGCUGCUGCCGAGCAGGAUGACGCAAAGCGGCGGUCAGCCUCCGUUGAUGAGACGCCACGGGGCAGUUGGGCCUCCAGCAUCUUUGACCUGAAGAACUCCUCCCCAGACGUGCUCUUCCCCAGCGUCCUGGAGCGCACGGGGCCGGAGGACAUGGACUGUCGCAACACAGAGGCCCGCCUGCAGGGGCGCCACGGUGACCUGCUCGGCCUCUACCCUCCGCCCGAUGAGGACGAGGCCGUGGAGCGAUGCACUGUCCCUGAAGUUCCCAAAGAACACAGUGGCCAGAGAAUCAUGGUCAAGUGCCUUUCUCUCAAGUUCGAGAUAGAAAUCGAACCAAUAUUUGGAUCGCUGGCCCUUUAUGACGUCAAGGAAAAGAAAAAGAUUUCCGAGAAUUUCUAUUUCGACCUGAACUCUGAUCAGAUGAAAGGCCUCCUUAAGCCGCACACGCCUCACGUGGCCAUCUCCACGCUGGCACGCUCGGCCAUUUUCUCUAUCACGUACCCCUCCGCCGACAUCUUCCUGGUCAUUAAGCUGGAGAAGGUUCUUCAGCAAGGAGACAUUGGAGAGUGCUGUGAACCCUACAUGGUCAUGAAGGAAUCAGACUCCUCUAAGCACAAGGAGAAGCUGGAGAAGUUGCGCCUGCAGGCGGAACAGUCCUGUACCCGCCUGGGCUGCUUCCGCAUGCCCUUCGCCUGGACGGCCAUUCACCUGCUCAACAUUGUCAGCAGCGUAGGGGGUCUGGACCGCUUGGACCCUGACUCCGAUUCUGAGCGCAAAGGCCAUGGAACGUGGAACGAAAAAAAGAAAAAGGGAUUUGAGCGAAUGAGCGUCGGCGAUGAUGUGUGUAACUUUGCCACUUUCCGCCCAGCAACCCUGACCGUCACCAACUUCUUUAAGCAGGAGGGGGACAGGCUGAGCGAUGAAGACCUCUACAAGUUUCUGGCAGACAUGCGCAGACCGUCCUCUGUCCUGCGACGACUGAGGCCCGUCACAGCCCAGUUGAAGAUUGACAUUUCUCCGGCGCCGGACUCGCCUCAUUACUGCCUGUCACCCGAGCUGCUGCACGUCAAGCCAUACCCGGACCUGCGGGUCCGCCCCACCAAAGAGGUGCUGGAAUUCCCCACUCGCUACGUGUACACGCCGCACACUAGCUACAGGAACCUGCUCUACGUUUAUCCUCAAAGCCUGAACUUCAGCAGCCGCCAGGGCUCAGUGAGGAACAUCGCCGUGAAAGUUCAGUUCAUGGCAGGGGAGGACCCCAGCCAAGCUUUGCCGGUCUUCUUUGGGAAGUCCAGUUGUGCCGAGUUCCUGAGAGAGGCGUUCACCCCCAUCAUCUACCACAACAAGUCUCCUGAGUUCUAUGAGGAGAUGAAGCUGAAAAUUCCUGCCAACCUCACAGACAACCACCACCUUCUCUUUACCUUCUACCACAUCAGCUGCCAAACCAAACAGAACACCCCUCUGGAGACCCCUGUGGGCUACACUUGGAUCCCCCUCAUGCAGCAUGGCCGACUGCGCACCGGUGCCUUCAGUUUGCCCGUCUCAGUGGAAAAGCUCCCGCCCAGCUACUCUGUGCUGACCCCCGAUGUCCAGCUCCCGGGCAUGAAGUGGGUGGAUAACCACAAAGGCGUGUUCAACGUGGAGGUGACAGCCAUGUCCUCCGUGCACACACAGGACCCCCACCUGGACAAGUUCUUCACUUUAGUGUACGUGCUCGAGGAGUACUCCUUCCCCUUCCGCCUCAAGGACGUCAUCAUCAGCGAGGCCAACAUGGAAGGCGAGCUGAAGGCCAGCAUGGCCACGCUGAGGAGUGCCCUGCUGGACACCUGUGUCAGGUUUCUCCACCAGCUGCUCAACAAACUGAUCCAGCUCAUCGUGUACCCUCCGGUCAUUGCGGGCCAAAUUGUAAACCUUGGCAGGGCUGCCUUUGAAGCCAUGGCUCUGCUGGUCAACCAGAUCCACAAAAAUCUGGAAGGGAACCAGGACCAGCACGGGCGCAACAACCUGCUGGCCUCCUUCAUCCAUUACUGCUUCCGCCUGCCAACUGCUGAGCCGGCCAUGCCGCCGCCAACUGGCGCUCAGUCCUACGAGAUCCCCUUGCAGUACGCCACCUUCUCCAGAGCCACAGGCAGGCCCAGCAGCCUGAACCUGGCGCGUUCGAAGAGUAUCAGCAACUCUGACCCCGACUUGGCCAGCACGCCACUUUCUCCCGACGAAGAAGUGCAGAGGAUCAUAGGCAGCAAGGGCAUUGAUCGCUCCCACUCCUGGGUCAAUUCUGCUUACGCCCCCGGGGGCUCCAGAUCUGUGCUACGUCGGAACCCCAACUCCAGCUGCGAGCUCAAGCAGGCAAUCGACCGCAGCAACAAUCGCAUGUCCGCCUUUCUGGACAGCGUGGCCUCAUUUUCAGUUCCGCCAAGGCAGAUUACCAAGAAGCUGCUCCAUGAAGAGCUGGCUCUGCAGUGGGUUGUCAGCAGCAGCAAUGUGAGGGAAGCAGCGCUGCAGCAGGCCUGGUUCUUCUUCCAGCUCAUGACAAAAAGCAUGGCCCAUCAUUUAUUCCUCACCUCAAAGCUGGACCUUCCACGGCGUCAACGCUUCCCUGGCCGCUUUGUGGACGACAUCGCCGCUCUGGUUUGUGCCAUCAGUGCAGAUAUUGCCAGCCGGUACCACAAGGAUGUGGAGCUUGUGGAGAGACUAAAUAACAGUCUGGCCUUCUUCCUCAAUGACUUGCUGUCUCUCAUGGACCGAGGCUUUGUGUUCAACCUCAUCCGCUCCUACUACAAACAGAUCAGUAACAAGUUCCACAUGACGCCGAACCCCACCUCUCUGAAUGCUCUGCGGAUGGACUUCAUGCGGAUCGUCUGCAGCCACGAGCACUACGUGGUCCUCAACCUGCCCUGCUCCACCCUCAGCCCCCCGGCUUCACCUUCCCCUUCCACAUCCUCCACCACCUCACAGAGUUCAGCAUUUUCCAGUAUGGCACAAGACCAGGGUGUGGCGACCAUGUUUGAGCUCUCCGUUCCGUUCCGGCAGCAGCACUUCCUGUCAGGCGUCCUCCUCAGCGAGCUCGCACUCAUACUUGAUCCGGAAGGAGAGGGGGUGUUUUUCCUUCAUAAAAAAGCUAUUAGUGCCGUUCACUCCCUGCUGUGCAGCCAUGAUUCUGAUCCUCGCUACAGCGACCCUCAGGUCAGAGCCCACAUCGCUCAGCUCUACCUGCCUCUCAUCCUCAUCGUCAUGGAAACCCUGCAUCAGCUCCAUGACUUUUCAGACUCCACUCUGUCUCGAGUGCGCCACGUCCCAGCCCACGCCGACGAUGCAGACUUAGACGGUAACAACACUAUCAGUCAGUCUGUUGCCAUGGCGAUCGCCGGCUCCCCCAUGCAUCACACCAAGGCCAACCCGUUUGCACUUCCCACAGUGGCCGGGCGCCAGGGCAGCUGCUUGUCCGCCGAGUGCAGCCGAACUCUGCUUGUAUGUUUUCUGUGGGUGCUGAAGAAUGCCGAGCCCGCUCUCCUGGAGCGCUGGGUGUCCUAUCUGUCGGUGCAGCAAAUCAACCGCCUGCUGGAGCUGCUGCACCUCUGUGUCUCCUGCUUUGAGUACAAGGGGAAGAAGGCUCUGGAGAGGAUCAACAGCUUGACAUUUAAGAAAUCGCAGGACAUGAAAGCGCGUCUGGAGGAGGCCAUCCUCGGUACCAUCGGCGCUCGCCAGGAGAUGGUGCGCCGUUGCCGAGAAAGGAGUCCCUAUGGCAGCCAGGAGAACGUCAGGUGGAGAAAGAAUGUCACUCACUGGAAACAAAACACAGACAGGGUGGACAAGACUAAGGCUGAAGUGGAGCAGGAGACUGUGGUGGAUGGAAACUUGUCUACAGAGGCGUCCCUAGUUGUGUUGGACACACUGGAGAUUAUAGUCAAGACUGUGGUGGCAUCAGAGCUGAAGGAAAGUGUGUUAGGAGGCGUGCUGAGAGUUCUUCUCCACAGCAUGGCAGGCAACCAGAGUGCCCUCUUCCUGCAGCACUGCUUCACUACACAAAGAGCUCUUGUCUUCAAGUUUCCAGAGAUGCUGUUUGAGGAGGACACAGAGCUUUGUGCAGACUUGUGCCUGCGUCUGCUGCGACACUGCAGCAGCAGCAUCGCCUCCGUCAGAAGUCACGCCUCCGCCUCCCUUUACCUGCUCAUGAGACAAAACUUUGAGAUCGGAAAUAAUUUUGCUCGGGUGAAGAUGCAGGUCACAAUGUCACUAUCGUCACUGGUGGGAACCUCGCAGAACUUCAACGAGGAGCAUCUCCGGCGCUCUCUCAAGACCAUCCUGACUUACGCCGAGGAGGACGUGGAGCUCCGUGACACCCCCUUCCCUGAUCAGGUCCAGGAUCUAGUGUUCAACUUGCACAUGAUUCUUACCGACACUGUGAAGAUGAAAGAGCAUCAGCAGGAUCCCGAGAUGCUAAUUGAUCUUAUGUACAGGAUUGCAAAGGGCUACCAGAACUCCCCGGACCUGCGCCUCACGUGGCUCCAGAACAUGGCGGGGAAGCACUCGGAGAGAGGGAACCACGCUGAGGCCGCCCACUGUCUGGUCCACAGCGCCGCCCUGGUGGCGGAGUACCUCAACAUGCUGGAGGAUUGUCGCUACCUGCCAAUUGGUUGUGUCACCUUUCAGAACAUUUCCUCCAAUGUGCUGGAGGAGUCGGCCGUAUCGGAUGAUGUCCUUUCUCCAGAGGAGGAGGGCAUUUGUGCUGGGAAGUACUUUAGCGAGUCGGGCCUGGUUGGCCUCCUGGAGCAGGCGGCCGCCUCUUUCAACAUGGCCGCCAUGUACGAGGCCAUCAACGAGGUGUACAAGAUUCUUCUCCCCAUUCACGAAGCUAACAGAGACUUCAAAAAGCUGGCAGGGGUCCACGGGAAGCUGCAGGACGCCUUCAACAAAGUCUACAACCAAAGCUCAGGAUGGGAGAGAAUGUUUGGAACUUACUUCCGGGUGGGUUUCUACGGCUCUCACUUUGGAGACCUGGACGAGCAGGAAUUUGUCUACAAGGAGCCGUCAAUCACCAAGUUGGCGGAGAUCUCCCACAGGCUGGAGGAGUUCUACUCGGAGAGGUUCGGUGAUGAGGUGGUGGAAAUAAUCAAGGACUCCAGCCCAGUGGACAAAACCAAACUGGACGCCAACAAGGCCUACCUCCAGAUCACAUACGUGGAGCCUUUCUUCGACACCUACGAGUUGAAAGAGAGGAUCACCUACUUUGACAAGAACUACAACCUGCGCACCUUCAUGUACUGCACGCCCUUCACGCUGGACGGCCGCGCUCACGGCGACCUGCACGAGCAAUACAAGCGCAAAACCAUCCUCACCGCCUCACACGCCUUCCCGUACAUCAAGACACGCAUCAACGUGGUCCACAAGGAGGAGAUCAUUCUGGUGCCCAUCGAGGUGGCCAUUGAAGACAUGCAGAAGAAGACGCAAGAGCUGGCAUUCGCCACCAACCAGGACCCGGCCGACUCCAAAAUGCUGCAAAUGGUGUUGCAGGGCUGUGUGGGCACCACUGUCAACCAGGGCCCCCUGGAGGUGGCGCAGGUCUUUCUGGCCGACAUUCCCAACGACCCCAAGCUGUUCCGCCAUCACAACAAAUUGCGUCUGUGCUUUAAAGACUUUGCUAAAAGGUGUGAGGACGCCCUGAGGAAGAACAAGUCUCUGAUUGGGCCAGACCAGAAGGAGUACCACCGGGAGCUGGAGAGGAACUACACUAAACUCAAAGAAGCGCUUGGUCCUCUCCUCAACCGCAAGAUCCCCCAGCUGUACAGAACUCUGCCCGCUGCCGCUCCACAAACACAGCGGAAAGGAGGUGAAGCAGCAGUGUAACAAAAAGUCUGCAGAAUCAUUACAAGCAGCUUCUAUUUGACUCCAGAAAGGAACUCCUACAGUCGCUCCAGCCUUCGCAAAGUGGAGUCUUAAAGCUUACCUGACAGCAAGAGGCUCCGCCCCCUUCGCUGACACACACCAUAUUUUACUGCACACACACACACAUGUCACCCUGUCAUAGCACAAUCACCCUCACACCCCAUCAUCACUACACACACACACACACACACAUGUAUAUGUCACUCCUAGCCCCUCCCCCUCUCACCUCCACACUGUUUAUACUGAACUUAUCUGCACUGCAAACAUCUUUAGGGAGGCCCUGACAGCACUCUGCAAACACUGACCAGGGACUAGACUAGAAGACAACUCUGCAUACACUGACCAGGGACUAGACUAGAAGACAACUCUGCAUACACUGACCAGGGACUAGACUAGAAGACAACUCUGCAUACACUGACCAGGGACUAGACUAGAAGACAACUCUGCAUACACUGACCAGGGA
Molecule: RNA transcript, 7022 nt
Organism: Nerophis ophidion (straightnose pipefish)
Lineage: Eukaryota; Metazoa; Chordata; Actinopteri; Syngnathiformes; Syngnathidae
Gene name: dedicator of cytokinesis protein 7-like
Exons: 51
Source: RefSeq, a predicted model, not a curated record